RNAcentral lists this ribosomal RNA (842 nucleotides) under uncultured beta proteobacterium. RNAcentral describes it as "bacterial SSU rRNA". It matches the Rfam family "Bacterial small subunit ribosomal RNA", at positions 49 to 891 of the family's 1533-position model. Lineage: Bacteria; Pseudomonadati; Pseudomonadota; Betaproteobacteria. The record is from RNAcentral.
UUACACAUGCAAGUCGAACGGUAGAGGGAGCAACCCCUUGAGAGUGGCGAACGGGUGAGUAAUAUAUCGGAACGUGCCCAGUCGUGGGGGAUAACGUAGCGAAAGUUACGCUAAUACCGCAUACGAUCUACGGAUGAAAGCGGGGGAUCGCAAGACCUCGCGCGACUGGAGCGGCCGAUAUCAGAUUAGGUAGUUGGUGGGGUAAAGGCUCACCAAGCCAACGAUCUGUAGCUGGUCUGAGAGGACGACCAGCCACACUGGAACUGAGACACGGUCCAGACUCCUACGGGAGGCAGCAGUGGGGAAUUUUGGACAAUGGACGCAAGUCUGAUCCAGCCAUUCCGCGUGCAGGAUGAAGGCCCUCGGGUUGUAAACUGCUUUUGUACGGAACGAAAAGGUCUCUCCUAAUACGAGAGGCUCAUGACGGUACCGUAAGAAUAAGCACCGGCUAACUGCGUGCCAGCAGCCGCGGUAAUACGUAGGGUGCAAGCGUUAAUCGGAAUUACUGGGCGUAAAGCGUGCGCAGGCGGUUAUAUAAGACAGAUGUGAAAUCCCCGGGCUCAACCUGGGAACUGCAUUUGUGACUGUAUAGCUAGAGUACGGUAGAGGGGGAUGGAAUUCCGCGUGUAGCAGUGAAAUGCGUAGAUAUGCGGAGGAACACCGAUGGCGAAGGCAAUCCCCUGGACCUGUACUGACGCUCAUGCACGAAAGCGUGGGGAGCAAACAGGAUUAGAUACCCUGGUAGUCCACGCCCUAAACGAUGUCAACUGGUUGUUGGGUCUUAACUGACUCAGUAACGAAGCUAACGCGUGAAGUUGACCGCCUGGGGAGUACGGCCGCAA